CUAAUUUAAAGUCAAAAUAUCAAAAAACUACUCAAUUUUUUUCUGAGAGAUUUGCAUCCACUGCCAGAUGAUCCUCACUGUGAAGUUUCAGACAAGUUGAAUUCUUUGAUCUGUGCCAUGUUUCCUUCAAUUUAAGAUUGAUUCAUAUGAGGUUCCUGGUCACAUUUUAAGGUAAGUCUCCUACCAUCCCCUCUUAUACUGUAAGGGAGUCUGGACUCUGGACUGUAUGUGGCUUAAAAAGUAACCCAACCAUUGGCAAGGGUUUUUCAGGGCACAGUUUUGGCCCUCGGCAUCACUUGUAAACAAACAUUCAGAACUUUACCUCCUUCCAAAUACACUAUCAGACCUUUGCACAUUUGAAAAUGUGGUGGCAGUUGGCUGUGGCCCUUUGGAUCAAGCCUCUGCAAGUCUCUUUAGAAGUCCUUUCAUGCUGGGAAGAGGUUCGAAGUUUGGAAGGUCUAAGAAGAGUCUUCUCAAAUAGCUUGAAAGAUAAAAACAUAAGAUGACACAGAAGUCCCCUCCUUCCCUGGUCCCAAGUUUCUGUCCAGGAGGAAAAAAAUGAAGCGCAGAGG
Molecule: long non-coding RNA, 572 nt
Filed under: Microcebus murinus (gray mouse lemur)
Lineage: Eukaryota; Metazoa; Chordata; Mammalia; Primates; Cheirogaleidae
Description: lncRNA (ENSMICG00000048729.1)
Source: RNAcentral